This 700-nucleotide ribosomal RNA is filed under the name uncultured bacterium. RNAcentral's name for it is "bacterial SSU rRNA". It matches the Rfam family "Bacterial small subunit ribosomal RNA", at positions 94 to 828 of the family's 1533-position model. The record is from RNAcentral.
AGUGGCGGACGGGUGAGUAACGCGUAAGAAUCUAACUUCAGGACGGGGACAACAGUGGGAAACGACUGCUAAUACCCGAUGUGCCGCGAGGUGAAACCCAAUUGGCCUGAAGAAGAGCUCGCGUCUGAUUAGCUAGUUGGUGGGGUAAGAGCCUACCAAGGCGACGAUCAGUAGCUGGUCUGAGAGGAUGAGCAGCCACACUGGGACUGAGACACGGCCCAGACUCCUACGGGAGGCAGCAGUGGGGAAUUUUCCGCAAUGGGCGAAAGCCUGACGGAGCAACGCCGCGUGAGGGAGGAAGGUCUUUGGAUUGUAAACCUCUUUUCUCAAGGAAGAAGUUCUGACGGUACUUGAGGAAUCAGCCUCGGCUAACUCCGUGCCAGCAGCCGCGGUAAUACGGGGGAGGCAAGCGUUAUCCGGAAUUAUUGGGCGUAAAGCGUCCGCAGGUGGUCAGCCAAGUCUGCCGUCAAAUCAGGUUGCUUAACGACCUAAAGGCGGUGGAAACUGGCAGACUAGAGAGCAGUAGGGGUAGCAGGAAUUCCCAGUGUAGCGGUGAAAUGCGUAGAGAUUGGGAAGAACAUCGGUGGCGAAAGCGUGCUACUGGGCUGUAUCUGACACUCAGGGACGAAAGCUAGGGGAGCGAAAGGGAUUAGAUACCCCUGUAGUCCUAGCCGUAAACGAUGGAUACUAGGCGUGGCUU